CUCCGCCGGCGACCGGCGCACGGGUGAGUAACACGUAUGCAACCUGCCCUGUCAGGGGACAACCCGCCGAAAGGCGGGCUAAACCCGCGUACAUGCCACCGGGGCAUCCCGGAGGCAGGAAAGGCUUCGGCCGGACAGGGAUGGGCAUGCGGCGCAUUAGGCAGUAGGCGGGGUAACGGCCCACCUAACCGACGAUGCGUAGGGGUUCUGAGAGGAAGGUCCCCCACACUGGUACUGAGACACGGACCAGACUCCUACGGGAGGCAGCAG
RNAcentral lists this ribosomal RNA (270 nucleotides) under uncultured bacterium. RNAcentral describes it as "partial 16S ribosomal RNA". It matches the Rfam family "Bacterial small subunit ribosomal RNA", at positions 83 to 354 of the family's 1533-position model. The record is from RNAcentral.